RNAcentral lists this ribosomal RNA (449 nucleotides) under uncultured bacterium. RNAcentral's name for it is "partial 16S ribosomal RNA". It matches the Rfam family "Bacterial small subunit ribosomal RNA", at positions 29 to 523 of the family's 1533-position model. The record is from RNAcentral.
AACGAACGCUGGCGGCAUGCCUAACACAUGCAAGUCGAACGAGAUCUUCGGGUCUAGUGGCGCACGGGUGCGUAACGCGUGGGUAUCUGCCCUUUGGUUCGGAAUAACAGUUGGAAACGACUGCUAAUACCGGAUGAUGACGAAAGUCCAAAGAUUUAUCGCCAGAGGAUGAGCCCGCGUAGGAUUAGCUAGUUGGUGUGGUAAAGGCGCACCAAGGCGACGAUCCUUAGCUGGUCUGAGAGGAUGAUCAGCCACACUGGGACUGAGACACGGCCCAGACUCCUACGGGAGGCAGCAGUGGGGAAUAUUGGACAAUGGGCGAAAGCCUGAUCCAGCAAUGCCGCGUGAGUGAUGAAGGCCUUAGGGUUGUAAAGCUCUUUUACCCGGGAUGAUAAUGACAGUACCGGGGGAAUAAGCACCGGCUAACUCCGUGCCAGCCGCCGCCGUAA